UGGUAUGUAGCUCAGUUGGGAGAGCAGAUAAUUUGAUAAACUAAUGUCGUUGGUUCGAGUCCAACCAUAUCAU
Molecule: transfer RNA, 73 nt
Filed under: Ruminococcus sp. AM46-18
Lineage: Bacteria; Bacillati; Bacillota; Clostridia; Eubacteriales; Oscillospiraceae
Description: tRNA-Ile
Rfam family: tRNA
About the family: Transfer RNA (tRNA) molecules are approximately 80 nucleotides in length. Their secondary structure includes four short double-helical elements and three loops (D, anti-codon, and T loops).
Source: RNAcentral